ACAUAAUUUAUCUAUAUAAUUAUUUACAUUGUAGCUAACCCAUCAGUACUUGCAAAGUCUUCUUUUCUCUAAGCCCGAAAUUUGAGUUCUAAAAUACCAUUAUCCACAUAACUACUAUAUCAAAGCACAAACUAAUGGAUUGAUCAAGAAGGGCACUGCAGUUGUCUUGCAGUUAUGCAACUUAUCAACCCAUAACUGCGAUAACUACAUGUUUUUUUAAUAAGAAAAGAGAUUGUAUGACUUCGGUAUCCGCAAUACGGUAUCGUGCAUUGAUUCCCAUCUUAGAAUGGCUCCCUUCCGUAUAGGUGGAAAUAGGAAAGGUUAUGUCCUUUUUUUAAUUCUUAAAACGAAGAGGCUUAAUCAGUUCAAACAAAGAUGACGAUGAUCAUUAUGGAGCCGAUCAUAAUGAGGAAUUCGAUAAUGCAUAUAAUAAUAAAUAAAAUGAUUUUACUUGUAAAAAAACUUAUUUAAAUAAAAAAUUAUAUGUUUAA
Long non-coding RNA from Hydra vulgaris (swiftwater hydra), 491 nucleotides. RefSeq lists it as uncharacterized. The record is from RefSeq and is a predicted model, not a curated record. NCBI's taxonomy places the organism in Eukaryota, Metazoa, Cnidaria, Hydrozoa, Anthoathecata, Hydridae.